UCCCUCUGAUCUUGCAGUAGUGAGGGGAGUUUAGUGGAUACGGUAGUGUUAUCCAUAACAGUUAGGUUUAGUGUUUAGUGUAAGGAGUAAAUAAUAAUGUAGAGAUGUAGAGUGUUACUUAUAAUGCUAAAAUUUAACUAAGCAAUUCUAAGUUAUUAUAUUAUUUUGCCCAAUAAAUAAUUCUAAUGGAUUACACAUAAGAUUAAUACAAAAUGAGUGAAAAGUCACCCGGUUUCCUUCCGGUAGAGCAGCAGAUUUUUAUGAAUUUCAGGACUUUUUAAGCUAGGCAUGACAUUUAACUUUACAAUACAAAAUCAAACUACACAUGAGCAGAUGUAGAGAUGAAGAUGACAAUGAUAACCCAGCCAGUGCCUACCGUGAAGAUGAGACUGAGGCAGUAAAAUCCAACUCUUUGAUGCAACAAGAAGCCACCACCAGCAAGCGAUCCUGGAUAGCUAUGAAGCACAGUCUUGGUAUUUUAAUGGUAGUUACUCACAUCUGAAGAUUAAAUUAUUAUCAUAAAAUAUUAACGGGAAAUGUCUGGACGGUCAUGCAUUCUGUAAUAAUAAGUAAUGGAAAUGGGACUUAGAGACGUAUAUAUAGAUGAGAUGCACCGAAACUCCGGCUGAGUAACUUAGCUUAGAAAUGACUCCCUAAAUA
Plutella xylostella (diamondback moth) is the source of this 660-nucleotide long non-coding RNA. RefSeq lists it as uncharacterized. Lineage: Eukaryota; Metazoa; Arthropoda; Insecta; Lepidoptera; Plutellidae. The record is from RefSeq and is a predicted model, not a curated record.